Molecule: ribosomal RNA, 464 nt
Filed under: Vreelandella stevensii
Lineage: Bacteria; Pseudomonadati; Pseudomonadota; Gammaproteobacteria; Oceanospirillales; Halomonadaceae
Description: partial 16S ribosomal RNA
Rfam family: Bacterial small subunit ribosomal RNA
Source: RNAcentral
CCUACGGGUGGCUGCAGUGGGGAAUAUUGGACAAUGGGCGAAAGCCUGAUCCAGCCAUGCCGCGUGUGUGAAGAAGGCCUUCGGGUUGUAAAGCACUUUCAGUGGGGAAGAAAGCCUUGGGGCUAAUACCCUCGAGGAAGGACAUCACCCACAGAAGAAGCACCGGCUAACUCCGUGCCAGCAGCCGCGGUAAUACGGAGGGUGCGAGCGUUAAUCGGAAUUACUGGGCGUAAAGCGCGCGUAGGCGGUCUGAUAAGCCGGUUGUGAAAGCCCCGGGCUCAACCUGGGAACGGCAUCCGGAACUGUCAGGCUAGAGUGCAGGAGAGGAAGGUAGAAUUCCCGGUGUAGCGGUGAAAGGCGUAGAGAUCGGGAGGAAUACCAGUGGCGAAGGCGGCCUUCUGGACUGACACUGACGCUGAGGUGCGAAAGCGUGGGUAGCAAACAGGAUUAAUACCCCUGUAGUC